GUCACUUAUAGAUGGAUCCGCGCUGCAUUAGCUAGUUGGUAAGGUAACGGCUUACCAAGGCAACGAUGCAUAGUCGACCUGAGAGGGUGAUCGGCCACACUGGAACUGAGACACGGUCCAGACUCCUACGGGAGGCAGCAGUAGGGAAUCUUCCGCAAUGGGCGAAAGCCUGACGGAGCAACGCCGCGUGAGUGAUGAAGGUCUUCGGAUCGUAAAACUCUGUUAUUAGGGAAGAACAUAUGUGUAAGUAACUGUGCACAUCUUGACGGUACCUAAUCAGAAAGCCACGGCUAACUACGUGCCAGCAGCCGCGGUAAUACGUAGGUGGCAAGCGUUAUCCGGAAUUAUUGGGCGUAAAGCGCGCGUAGGCGGUUUUUUAAGUCUGAUGUGAAAGCCCACGGCUCAACCGUGGAGGGUCAUUGGAAACUGGAAAACUUGAGUGCAGAAGAGGAAAGUGGAAUUCCAUGUGUAGCGGUGAAAUGCGCAGAGAUAUGGAGGAACACCAGUGGCGAAGGCGACUUUCUGGUCUGUAACUGACGCUGAUGUGCGAAAGCGUGGGGAUCAAACAGGAUUAGAUACCCUGGUAGUCCACGCCGUAAACGAUGGGUGCUAAGUGUUAGGGGGUUUCCGCCCCUUAGUGCUGCAGCUAACGCAUUAAGCACUCCGCCUGGGGAGUACGACCGCAAGGUUGAAACUCAAAGGAAUUGACGGGGACCCGCACAAGCGGUGGAGCAUGUGGUUUAAUUCGAAGCAACGCGAAGAACCUUACCAAAUCUUGACAUCCUUUGACAACUCUAGAGAUAGAGCCUUCCCCUUCGGGGGACAAAGUGACAGGUGGUGCAUGGUUGUCGUCAGCUCGUGUCGUGAGAUGUUGGGUUAAGUCCCGCAACGAGCGCAACCCUUAAGCUUAGUUGCCAUCAUUAAGUUGGGCACUCUAAGUUGACUGCCGGUGACAAACCGGAGGAAGGUGGGGAUGACGUCAAAUCAUCAUGCCCCUUAUGAUUUGGGCUACACACGUGCUACAAUGGACAAUACAAAGGGUAGCGAAACCGCGAGGUCAAGCAAAUCCCAUAAAGUUGUUCUCAGUUCGGAUUGUAGUCUGCAACUCGACUACAUGAAGCUGGAAUCGCUAGUAAUCGUAGAUCAGCAUGCUACGGUGAAUACGUUCCCGGGUCUUGUACACACCGCCCGUCACACCACGAGAGUUUGUAACACCCGAAGCCGGUGGAGUAACCUUUUAGGAGCUAGCCGUCGAAGGUGGGACAAAUGAUUGGGGUGAAGUCGUAACAAGGUAGCCGUAUCGGAAGGUGC
This 1311-nucleotide ribosomal RNA is filed under the name Staphylococcus aureus subsp. anaerobius ST1464. RNAcentral's name for it is "bacterial SSU rRNA". It matches the Rfam family "Bacterial small subunit ribosomal RNA", at positions 214 to 1515 of the family's 1533-position model. The record is from RNAcentral. Lineage: Bacteria; Bacillati; Bacillota; Bacilli; Caryophanales; Staphylococcaceae.